This 250-nucleotide ribosomal RNA is filed under the name uncultured bacterium. Its description in RNAcentral is "partial 16S ribosomal RNA". It matches the Rfam family "Bacterial small subunit ribosomal RNA", at positions 524 to 773 of the family's 1533-position model. The record is from RNAcentral.
UACGAAGGGGGCUAGCGUUGUUCGGAUUGGCUGGGCGUAAAGGGAGCGCAGGCGGUUCGUUAAGUCUGGAGUGAAAGCCCGGGGCUCAACCCCGGAGGGUCUUCGGAUACUGACGGACUCGAGUACGGAAGAGGAGAGUGGAAUUCCAGGUGUAGCGGUGAAAUGCGUAGAUAUCUGGAGGAACACCGGUGGCGAAAGCGGCUCUCUGGUCCGAUACUGACGCUCAGGCUCGAAAGCGUGGGGAGCAAAC